GGCUCCAGACCCCCAGGCACCUGGCCCGGAGCGCAGCCCCGCCCCAGAGCCUAACCGUGAGCAACGCAGGCUCCCGCGGAGGGCUCGCGCGGCGGCGCUCGCUCCCCGCCCGCCGCCUGGGAUCCGGACAGCGAGGCAGCUGGGGGCCUGUGCCCUGGUAGAGCCCGGAGGCUCUGCCAUAGGUGGAGGCCCAGGUUCAAGUCCCCGCCCAGACACUUAGCAGCUGCGCGCCUCGGGCAAGUUGCUCAACCUUCCUACCGAGUAGCCCCCAGGAAGCCCCGCCCUUAGGACUAGCACUCUGAAUUCCAGGGAAGCGGGGCUGAGAAGGAGGAAGGGGCUGGCGAGGAAGGCCCGGCGGGCGCGGGUGCGCUCCAGGACUCCACACCUCUGAGGGGCUGACGACAAGCCCACGAGGGCAGCAGCAGGACACAGACGCGGAGCCCGAGUCCAGUGCUGGUUUUGAAGGCGGAAAGCAGCGGGAGGUUCCUGGCCCAGCGAACCCAGUGGGUUGGCCCAGUGAAGUGCUCUAGUGGGAGGUCAGGGAAUCCAGCCCGCUCUUCCGGUGGAGACCUUGGACAGACAGUAUCACUUGAUGGAAUGUCAUUGCUCUCAAGCAUUUGAAGUUAUUUUAUUUGCUCGUGUUCUUGUUUAUCAUCUUCUCCCUGACCAGACGUAAGCUCCAUGAGGAAAGGGUCCUUGUGUGCCUUACUCAAGUUUGUGCUGCCAGGGCCUGGACCACUGCUGGACACAUAGGAGAAACGUCAACACUUACUAACUGAAUGAGUCUGCUGGCUCCUGGGGGAGACAGGUGUGUUUCCAGCCCUGAAGUAGCAGGUUUUGACAAGUGACCCAGGACUAAGCAGUCUGGGAGAAGAUGGUGGAGAUGGGUUCUCCUGGGGGAAGCUGGAAAAACCUAGAAGAAGAGAAAUAAUUUGAAUUGUGACGAGAACCGGUAGCACUUUUUGGGGAAAUUGGCAGAAGGGCUUCUGCUCGCAGAGGGAGGUGGAUGAACAAGGAUCUGGGGGAGGGGAAGGCCAGGCCUCUGGAUGGCGGGGGUAUCAGAGCUAGGUGUGUGGUGCUGGGGGCAUUGGAGGGCAACCUGAAAAUGUAGGUUGGGUAGAUCCUACGAAGGGUCUUGUUAGGGAUGAACUGAAUCCCUCCAAGUUUCACAUGUUGAAGUUCUAGUCCCUAGGACACCUUGGAAUGUGAUGAUAUUUGGAGAUAAGUCCUUUUAAAAAGAUUAAUUUAUGUUUUGUGUUUUUUAGGGGGAGUAAUUA
Vicugna pacos (alpaca) is the source of this 1277-nucleotide non-coding RNA. Lineage: Eukaryota; Metazoa; Chordata; Mammalia; Artiodactyla; Camelidae. The record is from RefSeq and is a predicted model, not a curated record.